RNAcentral lists this transfer RNA (60 nucleotides) under Dipodomys ordii (Ord's kangaroo rat). It matches the Rfam family "tRNA", at positions 7 to 64 of the family's 71-position model. Rfam says of the family: Transfer RNA (tRNA) molecules are approximately 80 nucleotides in length. Their secondary structure includes four short double-helical elements and three loops (D, anti-codon, and T loops). The record is from Rfam by way of RNAcentral. Lineage: Eukaryota; Metazoa; Chordata; Mammalia; Rodentia; Heteromyidae.
AUGGCUCAAGUGGUAGAGCACCUGCUUAACAAGCAGGAGAUCUUGAGUUCAAAUCCCAGU